AUAUUGCACAAUGGGGGAAACCCUGAUCCAGCCAUGCCGCGUGUGUGAAGAAGGUCUUNGGAUUGNANAGCACUUUACGUUGGGANGCAGGGUUGUAGGUUAAUACCCUGCAAUUUUGACGUUACAAACAGAAUAAGCACCUGCUACCUUCGUCCCAGCAGCCGCGGUAAUACGAAGGGUGCAAGCGUUAAUCGGAAUUACUGGGCGUAAAGCGCGCGUAGGUGGUUCGUUAAGUUGGAAGUGAAAUCCCCGGGCUUAACCUGGGAAUUGCUUUCAAAGCUGACGAGGUAGAGUAAGGUAGAGGGUAGUAGAAUAUCCUGUGUAGCGGUGAAAUGCGUAGAUAUAGGAAGGAACAUCAGUGGCGAAGGCGACUACCUGGACUGAUACUGACACUGAGGUGCGAAAGCGUGGGGAGCAAACAGG
This 423-nucleotide ribosomal RNA is filed under the name uncultured bacterium. Its description in RNAcentral is "partial 16S ribosomal RNA". It matches the Rfam family "Bacterial small subunit ribosomal RNA", at positions 361 to 776 of the family's 1533-position model. The record is from RNAcentral.